RNAcentral lists this ribosomal RNA (443 nucleotides) under Pelophylax cf. bedriagae. RNAcentral's name for it is "partial 12S ribosomal RNA". It matches the Rfam family "Bacterial small subunit ribosomal RNA", at positions 7 to 793 of the family's 1533-position model. Lineage: Eukaryota; Metazoa; Chordata; Amphibia; Anura; Ranidae. The record is from RNAcentral.
CAAAAGGGAUUGUGAUGUCCUAUCCUUACUAUCAUGCUGUUUCUCAUUUUACACAUGCAAGUCUCAGCACCCCAGUGAGAACGCCCUUUUAACCUACACCAGGAGAAGGAGCUGGCAUCAGGCACAAUCCCUGCCCAUAACACCUAGUCUCACCACACCCCCAAGGGUAAUCAGCAGUGAUAAAUCUUAAAUAUAAGCGACAGCUUGAUUUAGUUAGAGAAAAGAGGGCCGGCUAACCCGGUGCCAGCCGCCGCGGCUACACCGUGGGGCCCGAGCUGAUAGUCACCGGCGUUAAGCGUGAUUAAAGCCCUCAACAAUUAGGGUUAAAUUAAUAUUUAGUAGUGAUAAGCUUGUUAUUAAGAAAACCAUAAACGAAAGUUACCCUAAUUACACUUGAAUCCACGACAACUGGGAAAACAAACUGGGAUUAGAUACCCCACUAG